This 459-nucleotide ribosomal RNA is filed under the name uncultured bacterium. Its description in RNAcentral is "partial 16S ribosomal RNA". It matches the Rfam family "Bacterial small subunit ribosomal RNA", at positions 338 to 795 of the family's 1533-position model. The record is from RNAcentral.
CCUACGGGGUGCAGCAGUGAGGAAUAUUGGUCAAUGGGCGCAGGCCUGAACCAGCCAAGUCGCGUGAGGGAAGACUGCCCUAUGGGUUGUAACCCUCUUUUAUAAGGGAAGAAUAAUGACUACGUGUAGUCAGAUGCCCGUACCUUAUGAAUAAGCGUCGGCUAACUCCGUGCCAGCAGCCGCGGUAAUACGGAGGAUGCGAGCGUUAUCCGGAUUUAUUGGGGUUAAAGGGUGCGUAGGCGGUAUUUUAAGUUAGUGGUAAAACGUCGGGGCUUCACCUUGAUUGGCCAUUAAAACUGGAGUACUAGAGUACAGACGAGGUAGGCGGAAUAAGUUAAGUAGCGGUGAAAUGCUUAGAUAUCACACAGAACACCGAUUGCGAAGGCAUCUCACGAAUCCGCGAUUGACGCUGAUGCACGAAAGCGUGGGUAUCAAACAGGAUUAGAUACCCGAGUAGUC